CGCUGGCGGCGGGGUUUAGGCAUGCAAGUCGCGCGUGAACGUCCUUCGGGGCUAUUAGCGCGGCGAAAGGGUGAGUAAUGCUUCGUUAAUGUACCCAUGGGACCGGGAUAAUUCCUGGAAACGGGUUGUAAUACCGGAUGAGACCCCAGGCACCACGGUGCCGGUGGUCAAAGGCAUGUUGCUUUCGGGCGCAUGCGCCGAUGGAGCGGACGAAGUCUGAUUAGCUUGUUGGUGGGGUCACGGCCUACCAAGGCGAUGAUCAGUAGCGGGCCUGAGAGGGUGGCCCGCCACACUGGGACUGAGACACUGCCCAGACUCCUACGGGAGGCUGCAGUCGCGAAUCAUUCACAAUGGACGGAAGUCUGAUGAUGCCACGCCGCGUGCGGGAAGAAGGCCUUCGGGUUGUAAACCGCUGUCGAGAGGGGGGAAGUAUUGACUGCCCUCUGGAGGAAGCCCCGGCUAAACACGUGCCAGCAGCCGCGGUAAUACGUGUGGGGCAAGCGUUGUUCGGAAUCACUGGGCUUAAAGGGUGCGUAGGCGGCCUAUCAAGUCAGGGGUGAAAUCCCGUGGCCCAACCGUGGAAUUGCCUUUGAUACUGGUGGGCUUGAGUGUGCCAGGGGUGAGCGGAACGUGUGGUGUAGCGGUGAAAUGCGUAGAUAUCACACGGAAGGCCGGAGCCGAAGGGGGCUCACUGGGGCACAACUGACGCUGAGGCACGAAAGCGUGGGGAGCAAACAGGAUUAGAUACCCUGGUAGUCCACGCCGUAAACGAUGAGCACUAGGCGGUUGUCUUGUUAGGGAUGGCCGUUGGAGAGAAAUUGUUAAGUGCUCCGCCUGGGGAGUAUGGUCGCA
Molecule: ribosomal RNA, 852 nt
Filed under: uncultured organism
Description: bacterial SSU rRNA
Rfam family: Bacterial small subunit ribosomal RNA
Source: RNAcentral